RNAcentral lists this transfer RNA (88 nucleotides) under Gallionella capsiferriformans ES-2. It matches the Rfam family "tRNA". Rfam says of the family: Transfer RNA (tRNA) molecules are approximately 80 nucleotides in length. Their secondary structure includes four short double-helical elements and three loops (D, anti-codon, and T loops). Further hydrogen bonds mediate the characteristic L-shaped molecular structure. tRNAs have two regions of fundamental functional importance: the anti-codon, which is responsible for specific mRNA codon recognition, and the 3' end, to which the tRNAs corresponding amino acid is attached (by aminoacyl-tRNA synthetases). tRNAs cope with the degeneracy of the genetic code in two manners: having more than one tRNA (with a specific anti-codon) for a particular amino acid; and 'wobble' base-pairing, i.e. permitting non-standard base-pairing at the 3rd anti-codon position. Lineage: Bacteria; Pseudomonadati; Pseudomonadota; Betaproteobacteria; Nitrosomonadales; Gallionellaceae. The record is from Rfam by way of RNAcentral.
GGAGAGGUGGAUGAGCGGUUUAAGUCGCACGCCUGGAAAGCGUGUUUGGGAUAAUAUCCCAACGGGGGUUCGAAUCCCCCCUUCUCCG